GGUGUCGCCCCGCGGGGGCCGCACCGCUCGGGACGGUGGCUGCACGGCCGGGGUGCCGGACGGCCCGCGUUCCGGUCGCCGUGGCGUCUCC
RNAcentral lists this transfer RNA (91 nucleotides) under Deinococcus metalli. Its description in RNAcentral is "tRNA-Pro". The record is from RNAcentral. Lineage: Bacteria; Thermotogati; Deinococcota; Deinococci; Deinococcales; Deinococcaceae.